AGUGAACGCUGGCGGCAGGCCUAAUACAUGCAAGUCGAACGGCAGCACAGCAGAGCUUGCUCUGUGGGUGGCGAGUGGCGGACGGGUGAGGAAUACGUGGGAAUCUGCCCAGUCGUGGGGAUAACGUAGGGAAACUUACGCUAAUACCGCAUGCGCCCUUCGGGGAAAGCCGGGGACCUUCGGGCCUGGCGCGAUUGGAUGAGCCCACGUCGGAUUAGCUAGUUGGCGGGGUAAAGGCCCACCAAGGCGACGAUCCGUAGCUGGUCUGAGAGGAUGAUCAGCCACACUGGAACUGAGACACGGUCCAGACUCCUACGGGAGGCAGCAGUAGGGAAUAUUGGACAAUGGGCGCAAGCCUGAUCCAGCCAUGCCGCGUGAGUGAAGAAGGCCCUCGGGUUGUAAAGCUCUUUGUCCGGAAAGAAAGCGCCGGGUUAAUACCCUGGUGUCCUGACGGUACCGGAAGAAUAAGCACCGGCUAACUUCGUGCCAGCAGCCGCG
This 498-nucleotide ribosomal RNA is filed under the name uncultured bacterium. RNAcentral's name for it is "bacterial SSU rRNA". It matches the Rfam family "Bacterial small subunit ribosomal RNA", at positions 29 to 519 of the family's 1533-position model. The record is from RNAcentral.